GAUCCUGGCUCAGGAUGAACGCUGGCGGCGUGCUUAACACACGCAAGUCGAACGGAACUCCUAUGAACGAGGUUUCGGCCAAGUGAAUAGGAUGUUUAGUGGCGGACGGGUGAGUAACGCGUGAGUAACCUGCCUCAUACAGGGGGAUAACGGUUAGAAAUGACUGCUAAUACCGCAUAAGCGCACAGUACCGCAUGGUACGGUGUGAAAAACUCCGGUGGUAUGAGAUGGACCCGCGUCUGAUUAG
RNAcentral lists this ribosomal RNA (247 nucleotides) under uncultured bacterium. RNAcentral's name for it is "partial 16S ribosomal RNA". It matches the Rfam family "Bacterial small subunit ribosomal RNA", at positions 15 to 244 of the family's 1533-position model. The record is from RNAcentral.